UAAUUUUUAUGGUUUGCAUUCUUAAACUUUUUUAUUCGAAAUCAAAUUCUUAAUACUUGAUAGCUAGUGACUUUGUUUAUUAGUCAUCAUUAGUGAUAUAUCUUCAUUUGCAUUUUCUCUGGGCAUUUUGUAAUUUGCAUUUUGUAAUAAAAAAAAUAGAUUUUUAAUUAAUGGAUAAUUAGAUUAUAAAUAAGAUUACCUGAUAUCAGCAGAUGAUUAAAUGUUUGUAUAUAAUAAAUUUUGAUUGCUCAGAAAAAUUGCACUAAAUAUUUAAAUGUAUAGUCUGGAAGAUCUUAGACUUUAGAAUCAACAAAAAUAUCAUCCAGUAUAGUAAUAUAGAAUAUUUUGAUACUGACAAACUUAAAUCUUACGGUAUAAGAAUAACAAUAUAAUGUUACAAUCACUACACAUGAAAGGAACUGAAAGCAUAUCGAAUAUAAAAUAUAUUAGAUGCUAUUAUUUGCUUUCUUCGCUAUAAUUUUUAUAUUCGAUAAUUAUAUCACACAGAAUCAUAUUCUAGAAUCACGUAAAUGUUACAAUGUGUAAAAGAACCCUUCAUCCGAAGAAUAAUAGUCUUGUUUCACACGAUAUAUUGCGUGCAACAUAUAAUGGAACUAUCGUAAAUAUUUAAUGAAUCGACUUUCAUUGGUAUCUAUUUCAUAAACUUCCAUAAGACAGACUGUUAUUUUCAUUUAGUAUAUUCUAACUUGGAAGAACAUUCGAUGAAAUAAGUAUCUUUAACAACAUGAACAUUCGUCAAAUACUUUACAUUCUAGAAUUGAUAGGAACAUUCACGUGUACUUGGCCAAUUAAUCCGAAUAUUAGUAAAAGGCGAAUUAUUUUUCGUAACAUUUUCUGGAUAUUCUCGAUUUUGAACGUGAUUUUAUUAAUGACAUCGUUGAUGCUCGCUGUUGUUUAUUUUCGAAAUGACAUACUUAUGUCACUGAAAACUGCUUCCGAAAUGGCCGCUUUGCUCGAAGUCGUUUUGGAUUUGAUUCUUUGCAAAUGGAACAACAGUGAAUUUCAGGUUUUGAUAGAAGAGGUCAAAUCGUUCGUGGAGAUGGCCAACGAAUACGAAAUUAAAAUACUGCAGGGAUAUGUAAAUCGUUACAAAAAAUUCUUCUCAACAGUUUCGAUGGGAUACAUCUCAACUGCGAUUUCGUUCAGUUUGAUGCCUUUGUUCUCAGCCCAAAAAUUACCCGCAGAUGGAUGGCUUCCAUUCUCCACCGAACCAUUCGGAAUAUAUUGCAUAAUCUAUUUCAAUCACGUUUAUUGCAUUUUACAAACGGCAUUUUGCAUUUUUGUAGAUUUCACAAUUGUCAUCCUCUUUAGUUUCCCCGCUGCCAAAUUAGACGUAUUACGGUCAAAAUUGCGGCAUGUGAAUAAUUAUGACACGUUGGUGAGCUGUAUCAAGGAGCAUCAAAAAAUAAUAGGAGUGUACAAUUUUCAAAUUCGAUUAGCGAUAUUCAGUGGUUGGGUCAAUCAAAUAAAAUGAAGAGUUGCGUGAUUUUCAUGAUGAUGAGAAGUCAAAAAGCAUUUCUCAUUCGUAUGAGUAAUUUGCUACCACCUCUUUCUUUGGAAUAUUGUUCAAAUUUUAUAACUACAGUAUCAUCCUACUUCAUGGCAAUGAGAACUAUGAUUGAAUCAUAAUUAUCCAGGUCUAUAUUAUUUAAAUAUGUAUAAUAUUGAAACGUGCAA
Apis mellifera (honey bee) is the source of this 1698-nucleotide RNA transcript. RefSeq lists it as uncharacterized. Lineage: Eukaryota; Metazoa; Arthropoda; Insecta; Hymenoptera; Apidae. The transcript is spliced from 4 exons. The record is from RefSeq and is a predicted model, not a curated record.